RNAcentral lists this transfer RNA (72 nucleotides) under Dreissena polymorpha. It matches the Rfam family "tRNA". Rfam says of the family: Transfer RNA (tRNA) molecules are approximately 80 nucleotides in length. The record is from Rfam by way of RNAcentral. Lineage: Eukaryota; Metazoa; Mollusca; Bivalvia; Myida; Dreissenidae.
UCCGGUGUCGUAUAGCGGUAACGAUUUCUGAUUUUCAUUCAAUCGGCCCGGGCGCGAUUCCCGGCACCGGAA